Molecule: ribosomal RNA, 335 nt
Filed under: uncultured bacterium
Lineage: Bacteria
Description: bacterial SSU rRNA
Rfam family: Bacterial small subunit ribosomal RNA
Source: RNAcentral
AGAGACGAGUCAGAGUUUGAUCCUGGCUCAGGACGAACGCUGGCGGCGUGCCUAACACAUGCAAGUCGAACGGGGUGUUCCUUCGGGGACACUUAGUGGCGAACGGGUGAGUAACGCGUGAGGAACCUGCCUUCCAGUGGGGGACAACAGUUGGAAACGACUGCUAAUACCGCAUAACAUUCACGGACCGCAUGAUCUGUGAAUCAAAGCUUUAUGUGCUGGAAGAUGGCCUCGCGUCUGAUUAGCUAGUUGGUGGGGUAACGGCUCACCAAGGCGACGAUCAGUAGCCGGUCUGAGAGGAUGAACGGCCACAUUGGGACUGAGAUACGGCCCAG